Molecule: small RNA, 166 nt
Filed under: Arabidopsis thaliana (thale cress)
Lineage: Eukaryota; Viridiplantae; Streptophyta; Magnoliopsida; Brassicales; Brassicaceae
Description: ATSL263790
Source: RNAcentral
UCCACAAACACCAUUUAUAUUAAGUUAUCGGGAAGAGACUCUCCGCUAGAGAGAGCCAUUCAGGAACCGAUGUGCUUACAUGGGAGAAAAGACUGUUUCAAGGCCAAGCUUUUUUAGCUAAACUAUCUGCUCGAGUAUUAGAACUACGAGGAAGAAAUCUAAUAUU